This 163-nucleotide ribosomal RNA is filed under the name uncultured bacterium. RNAcentral describes it as "partial 16S rRNA". It matches the Rfam family "Bacterial small subunit ribosomal RNA", at positions 355 to 510 of the family's 1533-position model. The record is from RNAcentral.
UAGGGGAUCUUCCACAAUGGGCGAAAGCCUGAUGGAGCAACGCCGCGUGUGUGAUGAAGGGUUUCGGCUCGUAAAACACUGUUGUAAGAGAAGAAUGACAUUGAGAGUAACUGUUCAAUGUGUGACGGUAUCUUACCAGAAAGGAACGGCUAAAUACGUGCCA